AAAAAAAAGGAUAAAAACCAGAUCCAGAUCUGGUUUCCUCUCUCGUUCUCUUCCUCUCGUCACAUGGCAAACACACAGAGAAACUCAUUCCAUUGUCAUUUCGUCUUCCUCUCAGGUUAUUCCAGGGUGGGUUAAGACAUCUAGAUACUAGCCAACAUAAACCCUAACUUUCUCUUCCGGUGGAUUGAAGAACUGGUUCCCUUGGCUGCGUUUGAGUGUUCGCAGGCACGAGGAACGAACCUAAGAAGCUCAAAUUGCUUGGUCUUGAUUUGUCUAUUUCUUUCUGUUUUUUGAUGCUCGCAAAUGGCCUACUAUGGAACCUUGAAAAUUGAUCUUCAACAUUGGAGCUUUUGAAGCCAUUGUCUCUCAGUUUCGGUAUCACACACUUUCUUAGAUCUUCAUGUUAUGCCAAGCUGAGGUUGCAUGAUAAAAAUGAAGGGUGUUUGGUAUAUUCACAGAGAAAGCAUCUUUGGCUGCACCACCACAGAUAUUUCAUAAGGAGCCAUUCUUCUAUGGACAUGAUAACUACGAUCAGCUAGUGAAACUGGCAAAGCAAUCAAUAGUUUAGUUGAUUUCCUAUGAGUGGAAUACUUUAUCAAAGGCCUUGUUGAUUUCUGAAGGCAUAGCAAUAAGCAGCUAGUGAACUACUCACACUUGCUGAAUGCUCACUCAAAAAUUAAAAAAGUAUCUAAGAGUUCAAGUGAAAUAUUUAAUUUAUAGGAGGCUUGCAACAACACUAGAGUAAUUGGUACGUGAACUACAUAGAUCGAAGAAGAUUCCUGCAAAGUUUAUCUUGAAGUAGAGGAAAAUAACUAACUUAUAAAAUUUAAUUAUCUAGUAAACUUUGUUAGAACUUUCAUUCCUUUUGUAGCAUUCAUGAGGAAAAUUAAAAUGUAACAUUUUCUUUUAUAUUAGCUUCAUUCCUUUUUGUAUAUAGCUUU
Molecule: long non-coding RNA, 941 nt
Filed under: Rosa chinensis
Lineage: Eukaryota; Viridiplantae; Streptophyta; Magnoliopsida; Rosales; Rosaceae
Description: sRNA RchiOBHm_Chr4g0435081
Source: RNAcentral